UCCCUUCUAUAAGUAUCGCACCCCCCCGAAGGUCUAAUUCUUUCUCUUUUCUCUCUCCUCUCUCAGUUUACCGUUCGAUCCAGAGGGUUUAACUGGGGUUUAAGCCCACCUUCUCUACCUCUACCUCUACCUCCAUAAGCUAUAAUUUAAAUCAAGCAAUUUUCUUGCUUUUCCGGGUAGAGGGGCUAAGGCUAAUUCAAGCUGAAGCUGGUCGUCUUUGGAGCACUGUCUUCUGAGCUCAUCUUCUUCGAUGCUCAAAGUAGAUCCAAACCCUAGAACUGACCGGUCAUCGAUGAAAUGACGAUUUGUGGGUGAAUAAGGCGGAUUUUGGAGGAAAUUAUUACAGCGAAUGGUGCAUUUAGAUUUGCAACAUCGAAUGAAGUGAUAUGUGGUGUUGAAUAUGAGCGAUGGAGGUCGGGAGAGUGAAAGAGAACCUGAAAAACCAGCUCGUCAGAAGAGAGCCGGUGGAGAUGAAUUGGCCCGAGCGGCUGCAAGGCUUGCUGUAGCACAGAUAUCUGAGAGUCAGGGGUUUCAGACUUUUCAGCACUCUGCUCUUGAAACACUGUCUGACGUUGCUGUUCGGUACAUUUAUGAAAUCGGCAAGACUGCAAAUUUCUAUGCCAAUCUUUCAGGUAGAACGGAGUGCAAUGUUUUUGAUAUAAUUCAAGGGUUGGAAGAUUUGGGCUUGGUACAGGGGUUUUUGGGUGCUUCAGAUAUUGAGCAUUGCCUCGCAAAUUCAGGCACAGUUAAGGAACUUGUUCAGUAUGUUGAUGAAGCUGAAAAGAUCCCAUUUGCAUAUUCUCUUCCGCAGUUUCCAGUUGCUAAAGACCGGAAGCUAACUCCAAGUUUUUUACAAAUUGGGGAAGAGCCUCCAGGUGAGCAUAUACCCGCUUGGUUGCCUGCUUUUCCUGAUCCCAGCACUUAUGCUCCAUCAUCUUCUAGGAUUGAGAGAAGUAUAGAACCUCCCACGUCUAAGAUUGACCAGGAAAGCCACAACAGAAAGGUAGAAAGGUCUUUGUUGAACUUACAUCAACGGUUAGCUUGUAGUGGACUGGAAGGACCCUCCUUAGUCAACCAUGGGGAUGCUACUAAGGCAAAACAAGCAGUUGGGAGUAAUCCGUUUCUUGCUGCACCUCUGCAAUUCGGAGAAAAGGAGGUAUCUCCUGUUCUUCUUCCAGCGAAAGUGAAGCUUUUAAAUGAAGCAAUCAUGAGAAAUCCUAGUAUGGAAAAUCAUGGCAGGGAUAAUCAUAUCUCAGUGUUAGAGGCAUUGGCUCCAGAUAUUGAAGCAAUGGAGAGCAGAUUGCUUGAUUCUGAAGAAAAAGAAAAAAAGGUUCUUUUGAACAGCAGGCCAGCUGUACAAUUUAAGAUCGGUAUUGGAAGGAAGUCCUUAGGGACAAUGCAAGAUUUAAGCCUUCAGAAAAAGAGUUUUGAGGUAACUUCACCAUGGUUUGGGAGGGAAAAUGAGAAGGAUGACAAGAAGAUGAGGGCCGAGAAAAUUCUGAAAGAGUCUAUGGGACACACACAGGAACUGGGUCAUUUGUAAAUUAGGUUUGUUUCAUUAGAAUUUUAUACUUGUUUAUGAGACUCGUGACAGAUGAUGGUUCCAGGGUAAUUGUAGUGAAGGGCAUAAUGUUUUCUGCAUAGGGCAUUAUAGAUUGGAUACAACAAACCGCAUGCAGAAAUGUUCCCACAUUAAAAAGUUUUUGAGGGUCAGCCACAUUGAAUGGGAGCUUAGCCGAAGCCAAAAAUAUGAAAGGAGAGAGAAAAUCUAUGUAUUGGACCCAAUUUAAGGUGGAGAUUUACUGGCUAGCAAAGAGCUAGGCUGAUAAUAAAGAAUUAUUGAGAUUUUAUAUAGAGCAAGACCCCCACCCAGAUAAAUAUAAAAUGUGAGAAAGAAAGAGAGUGAGAGAGAGAAUCUGUUCAAUGUUACCAAAACUCCUACAUGGAGAAUACUUAAAAAAAAGAAGUUCUAUCUUGAGAGUGGCUUCCUGAAAGGCCCACCAGACUGGCCUUGCAGACCAACUCCCUGACUGUUUACAAUUUCAGUUAUUAAGUCUUUAAAGAUCAACCGCUCAAUAUCCAACACUAACCCAGGAAUUUCGCUGUGGCAAUCUAUCCAUUUCAUUGAUCGAUGUGUUAAAUCUUCUGAUAUGAUGCUCCUCAAGCUGUCAUACUCGCCAACUAGGCUUCUGUUCAAGUUAUUAUUCUUUAGCAGAUCUACCUCUGAACAAAUUUCUUCCAGAAGGUGCUGCCCUUUUGGAUUUCCUGCUGCUUGCUUUUUUGGUGAUAACCAUUUCUGUGGGGGAGUAGGACAUCCUAAAAGCAACUUUCGAACAAGAAUUUCAUUAACAGUAUCAAAUACGAGUACUCUUUGAAUUUUCUCAGAGGGUUCUAAAUUAAAAAUUCUUUCAUCACUUUGCUUAUCAUUCAAGAGCCCAGCACUUGCCUUUGUUUGUUCCAAUGCAAGGAACGAGUUAAAAUUGAUUUGGUGGCCCGAUGCUUGGAGCUGAAUGGUUGUUGAGCCAGAGUCAAGAUCUCUAAGGAGGCCCGAUGAUAACGAUAUUUCUGAAAUGUGUCUGUAGUUUGAAUUCAUGCUCUCAUGGAGUGCUGCAGUGUAAGCAGUGAUGGUUUCCUCUUCAGUAGUGUUUUCUUGUUGAAUAUUCUGAACUAAAUGCUGGAUGCUUUCUGAUUUUUUAUCAUCAACAUCAGCACUGAAACAGGGCUUUGUUCUCGUCGGCAAUUGAGCUCGAUCUACUGGAAUCCAUUCCCCUUCUUCAGGAUCUCGGGCCUCAUAAUCUGUAGCAAGAAUUUCGAGGAGAAUUCGGUAUAUUAAGAGUCUUGCAUCCUAUAAUAAAGCAGUCUCUCCGUCUGUCUCACUGACACUCUCUCUGCCCCUCUCAUUUCUUAUUGUAAGUAGGAGUGGACUGUGUUGGCACUCCUAAAAUGGAGAUGUUGACUCGUCUCUGUUAAAGGUAGCAUCAAGAACAGACACGGGGCUUGGUUGUUCUAAGGCAGCUAUUGCAGGUUUAACCAUGAUCCUGUCUUCGCUGGACCCUGGUGCAGUCUAAAUGAGAGAAACAAAACCUGUUAACCAGAUAAUAAAUUACUUGUGUGGGUAAAUAAGAGCAUGCACAAAUUACCUUAUGUUUCUUGCCAUCCUGCUUGAAGAAGGUGGCAUUGAUCUUAUCAGAGUGAUUGGUGCUUGUGAAUUCUGUAUCAGUAUGAGAACACAAGCUAAUGUUGCUUUCUGAUGUCAGAGAAAAGGUGUCACCUUGGUGAGUUAAAUUUCUCAUGCCGCUGCUGGUCUCACUCAACUGGUCAUUGCAUUGCUGCAAACUGGGAGAUAUUAGUCUGAGUUUUCUACCCGGGGAGAUUGGUCCCACUGGUUGUCUAGUACGUUGCCUAAUGGCUUUGGUUGUAUCCGAAGAUGGGAUGGUGGGAGGUGACUGCUUCUGCAAACUGAUCUUCCUUUGUUGCAACCUCGGGCUCACAGUUACUGAGCUUGUGUUGUUUUCUCCAAUGAUGUGUCUAGGCACCUUUAAGGCUGAUGUUGAUUUUGAAGUUCUCACAUUGGUUUUCUUAUCCGUGGAGCAAGACAGUGGACUGAAAUGGUCUUUUAGAUGAUUGCUUCUUGGCGAUAGAUCUUUAGCUGUUUGCAUUUUAGCCAUUCUCCCAUUUGCAGAAAAACCAGGCUUGUUGAGACCUGACAUACAUUCGGUCGGAAUUAUGGUGGAAGCACAAUCCAUUGUUUUUCUGAUUUUGACCAUUGGGAAUAUAGAACUCUCUGAAGAAUGCAGCCCCUUGGUUGUGGUGGAAACUGAGUCCUUAUUUUGUACCUUUCUUGGGCUUGCUAAAUUUGAGCUUUGGUGAUAACUGCCAUAGUUGCAUGUUUGUGAUGCAAAUUUUGAAGCUUGCUCUCUUUUGUAAUCUAAUGCUGUGUUGGUCUUCUGCAUUGCUUCAAGCAUCUGUUUAGGAGCUCUGAGAUUUUUACCAGAUUUUUUGAACUCAAGUUUGGCUAACCGUUUUUCGAUUUCACCAUAAACAGAGGGGUAGGAGUUUGAGGCUUUUGUGGUAGCUUCCCUGUACUUGAAAGGUAUUUGUUGAGAACUUUGCCUGCCAUCUGGCUGCCUCCACGGAGUUGGUUCUGUAGGGAAUCUUGAUCCUGAGGUAGGCCUCAUAACUGAAUCAGCAUCUUUUGACCUGGAUGACAUGGGGUCCUUGUACGAUUUCCUUGGGGAAGUAGAAAUUUGAUUUUUCUUGUUUCCAUCAGUUGUUCUUGAUGAUUUUGAGAGGGGAUCAGAUUUAUCAGUUUGGCAGCUACUAAUAAACCCUAAUGGAUUCUCACUGGUGGAUGUUGACUGUUGGAAAGCUUCCAAUCCCAUCAACUUCACUAUAAGGUUUGAUGGUCGAUCGGAACUUUCUGGUUCUUGCUUCUGGUUAAGCUUCUCACUGGAGUCGUCAUUCCUUCUUUUCAGAUCCUUCAAAAGAAAAUUUGAUUUUGUUUCAGAGGCAGGACCCCUUAUGGAGCCUUCUCUGCUGUCCAAUGAAAGCCUUGGGAGUUCCUUGAGCUUUAUUCUGGACUUGCAUGCAUCUUGUGAUACCCUUCCAUCAUAAGAGAGCCGGGGAACAUCCUUCAGUGAGGAGAGCACGAUUCUUUGUUUCUGUUCCUUGUAAUUCCUUGGUACUUCCUGGAGCUUAGCAAGACUGCGAACUGAAUCAUUGACACCAGAAGCUCUGGACUUGACGCAUUUGGGUGGCGACAAAGGUCUCGGGGAGCCUAUGUAUUUCAAGGUAGUGCCUACUGCUACCUCUUUUCUAUAAGUCUUCACCGAUAAUGCACGGCCCUCUCUGUAGAUGGGUUCUUUAACAACAUCUCGAAGAUCAAGAGAUUGCUGGCUUGACUGCAAAGACGCAUAUGGUUUGUUCAUAGGCAGAGUGGGGUUUCCAGGGAAACUGGGUUGGUUAAACAAAGAUGGCUCGAAUUGAGCUGUUUUACAGUUGAGAGAGGAGAAGCUAGAUGAACAUGUGGAGGAUGAAAGAGAGGUUUGGGAUGAUUCUGUCGAGACUCUCUGUUUCUCUUUCACAAACUUCUUUGGGUUUCUUUCCUACAAUUGUAAGCCAAAAUAUAUCAAAUUGCAUCUGCUUGAAACGAGCAUUGUAGUAGCGAUUAAAGUCAAAUUCUUACCGUAACUCUCUGUAAUGCACGAGUUUCUGUUGCGGAGUUCCUAUUUUGACCUAUUGUAACAACUAGAAGUGAGAUGUUGAAUAAACCGAUAGAAUGAUCAAUGGUAUUAACUUUUAACAUUA
Carya illinoinensis is the source of this 5307-nucleotide RNA transcript. It is a transcript of the gene named transcription initiation factor TFIID subunit 8-like, with no coding region annotated. The record is from RefSeq and is a predicted model, not a curated record. The transcript is spliced from 4 exons. NCBI's taxonomy places the organism in Eukaryota, Viridiplantae, Streptophyta, Magnoliopsida, Fagales, Juglandaceae.